UACGUAGGGUGCGAGCGUUGUCCGGAAUUACUGGGCGUAAAGAGCUCGUAGGUGGUUUGUCGCGUUGUUCGUGAAAUCUCACGGCUUAACUGUGAGCGUGCGGGCGAUACGGGCAGACUAGAGUACUGCAGGGGAGACUGGAAUUCCUGGUGUAGCGGUGGAAUGCGCAGAUAUCAGGAGGAACACCGGUGGCGAAGGCGGGUCUCUGGGCAGUAACUGACGCUGGAGGAGCGAAAGCGUGGGGAGCGAACAGG
This 254-nucleotide ribosomal RNA is filed under the name uncultured bacterium. RNAcentral's name for it is "partial 16S ribosomal RNA". It matches the Rfam family "Bacterial small subunit ribosomal RNA", at positions 524 to 776 of the family's 1533-position model. The record is from RNAcentral.